This is a long non-coding RNA of Neofelis nebulosa (Clouded leopard), 352 nucleotides long. RefSeq lists it as uncharacterized. The record is from RefSeq and is a predicted model, not a curated record. Lineage: Eukaryota; Metazoa; Chordata; Mammalia; Carnivora; Felidae. The transcript is spliced from 3 exons.
CUUGUCGGGGUCCGGUUCAAAACAUUUCAAUAUGAACGCCUUGGCCUCUGCGGACAUGGACUCUGGGAUCUCCGGGUGGACUUUAAACAUUCCCACCUAAGACACAGCACAAGCCUACUGGAACAGAUACGUCAGUAACAUGGGGAGAAAGAUGGACCAGAGCAAGAUCAAAGCAAAGAGCAAAGGGUAACUAGAAGAUGCCCUGUGCCAGCUGUUUAAGAGAAGCACUUGUCAUGCAAGUAUUUUCAAACAAUCUACUUUAUGCCAAAUGCUCUGCUAUAGAACAAGAUCUUUGUUGGUGUGCUUUGUGUACGUACAUUGGUGGGUGAAUAAACCUAAGUUAGAAAGGUGA